UGAUGGGAAUUUAAACCUCUUCCAGAGUAUCAAUUGGAGGGCAAGUCUGGUGCCAGCAGCCGCGGUAAUUCCAGCUCCAAUAGCGUAUAUUAAAAUUGUUGCAGUUAAAAAGCUCGUAGUUGAAUUUCUGCUGCAUUUCAUUUCUCUUUCUGAGUUUGUUUUUGCGGCUUAUUUCGGUUUGAUUUUUUCUUUCCGGAUGAUUACUUUGAGAAAAUUAGAGUGCUCAAAGCAGGCUUUUGCCUUGAAUAGUUUAGCAUGGAAUAAUAAAGUAGGACUUUGGUUCUAUUUUGUUGGUUUUAGGUACCAAAGUAAUGGUUAAUAGGAACAGUUGGGGGCAUUCGUAUUUAACUGUCAGAGGUGAAAUUCUUAGAUUUGUUAAAGACGAACUACUGCGAAAGCAUUUGCCAAGGAUGUUUUCAUUAAUCAAGAACGAAAGUUAGGGGAUCGAAGACGAUCAGAUACCGUCGUAGUCCUAACCAUAAACUAUGCCGACUAGAGAUUGGAGGUCGUCAGUUUUUACGACUCCUUCAGCACCUUGAGAGAAAUCAAAGUCUUUGG
RNAcentral lists this ribosomal RNA (558 nucleotides) under Theileria sp. RNAcentral describes it as "SSU rRNA". It matches the Rfam family "Eukaryotic small subunit ribosomal RNA", at positions 512 to 1110 of the family's 1831-position model. The record is from RNAcentral. Lineage: Eukaryota; Apicomplexa; Aconoidasida; Piroplasmida; Theileriidae.